AGUCACGCUGUAAACGAUGUCGAUUUGGAGUUUAGGGGCAUGACCCUUGGGCUCCGGAGCUAACGCGUUAAAUCGACCGCUGGGGAGUACGGCCGCAAGGUUAAAACUCAAAUGAAUUGACGGGGGCCCGCACAAGCGGUGGAGCAUGUGGUUUAAUUCGAUGCAACGCGAAGAACCUUACCUGGUCUUGACAUCCAUAGAAUCUUUCAGAGAUGAGAGAGUGCCUUCGGGCGCUAUGAGACAGGUGCUGCAUGGCUGUCGUCAGCUCGUGUUGUGAAAUGUUGGGUUAAGUCCCGCAACGAGCGCAACCCCUAUCCUUUGUUGCCAGCACGUAAUGGUGGGAACUCAAAGGAGACUGCCGUUGAUAAAGCGGAGGAAGGUAGGGACGACGUCAAGUCAUCAUGGCCCUUACGACCAGGGCUACACACGUGCUACAAUGGCGUAUACAAAGGGAUGCGAAGGUGCGAACUGGAGCGGACCUCACAAAGUACGUCUAAGUCCGGAUUGGAGUCUGCAACUCGACUCCAUGAAGUCGGAAUCGCUAGUAAUCGUGAAUCAGAAUGUCACGGUGAAUACGUUCCCGGGCCUUGUACACACCGCCCGUCACACCAUGGGAGUGGGUUGCACCAGAAGUAGAUAGCUUAACCUUCGGGAGGGCGUUUACCACGGUGUGGUUCAUGACUGGGGUGAAGUCGUAACAAGGUAACCA
This 709-nucleotide ribosomal RNA is filed under the name uncultured Enterobacteriaceae bacterium. RNAcentral's name for it is "bacterial SSU rRNA". It matches the Rfam family "Bacterial small subunit ribosomal RNA", at positions 793 to 1502 of the family's 1533-position model. The record is from RNAcentral. Lineage: Bacteria; Pseudomonadati; Pseudomonadota; Gammaproteobacteria; Enterobacterales; Enterobacteriaceae.